Molecule: ribosomal RNA, 492 nt
Filed under: uncultured bacterium
Lineage: Bacteria
Description: partial 16S ribosomal RNA
Rfam family: Bacterial small subunit ribosomal RNA
Source: RNAcentral
AGUGAACGCUGGCGGUAGGCCUAACACAUGCAAGUCGAACGGCAGCACAGUAAGAGUUUGCCCUUACGGGUGGCGAGUGGCGGACGGGUGAGGAAUACAUCGGAAUCUACUUUUUCGUGGGGGAUAACGUAGGGAAACUUACGCUAAUACCGCAUACGACCUACUGGUGAAAGCAGGGGAUCUUCGGACCUUUCGCGAUUGAAUGAGCCGAUGUCGGAUUAGCUAGUUGGCGGGGUAAAGGCCCACCAAGGCGACGAUCCGUAGCUGGUCUGAGAGGAUGAUCAGCCACACUGGAACUGAGACACGGUCCAGACUCCUACGGGAGGCAGCAGUGGGGAAUAUUGGACAAUGGGCGCAAGCCUGAUCCAGCCAUACCGCGUGAGUGAAGAAGGCCUUCGGGUUGUAAAGCCCUGUUGUUGGGAAAGAAAAGCAGCAGGUUAAUACCACGCUGUUCUGACGGUACCCAAAGAAUAAGCACCGGCUAACUUCGUG